Molecule: long non-coding RNA, 1917 nt
Organism: Esox lucius (northern pike)
Lineage: Eukaryota; Metazoa; Chordata; Actinopteri; Esociformes; Esocidae
Source: Ensembl
CACACUCCUUGCAGGAGGCCAUUCAGUGAUUUCCCUCAGCAGCAUAGCUGUCGUGUGUUACAAAUAUUAGUAGGAAAAUAUGGCUAAUCUAUGGCUGAAGGACUCAAUGGCCGGCAUUCCAUAGACCAGCUCCCUGGCAUCAACAUGGGACAACCAGCCCUGGUCUCUCCUAGCAUGAACAUGGGACAACCAGCCCUGGUCUCUCCUAGCAUGAACAUGGGACAACCAGCCCUGGUCUCUCCUAGCAUGAACAUGGGACAACCAGCCCUGGUCUCUCCUAGCAUGAACAUGGGACAACCAGCCCUGGUCUCUCCUAGCAUCAACAUGGGACAACCAGCCCUGGUCUCUCCUAGCAUCAACAUGGGACAACCAGCCCUGGUCUCUCCUAGCAUCAAAAUGGGACAACCAACCCUGGUCUCUCCUAGCAUGAACAUGGGACAACCAACCCUGGUCUCUCCUAGCAUGAACAUGGGACAAACAACCCUGGCCUCCUUUAGUUCACAAUGAACAUCAGCAUGAGACUACGUGUGUGCGCGUGUGAUGUGGAAUGUGAUUCACAGAGACAUCUGCUCCACACCUACAUUUGCCAGACACAACCACCUCUACCAUAACAUGGUCAACCGGUGGGAUGACACGGUAUCCUGGGCAUGUAUCGACAGCUCAGGAAUGAGCCUGCAAUUCUGGACUAUGGAACGGUGCAUAGGGGAGCCAGUGAAUUCAUCAGGCACAUUUAAACCUAACAAGGGGCUGUGGUUAAUGAUUCAGUAUCAUGUCAUGAUUGGCUGUGUUCUUACCCUUCUUUUUAACACCACUGUUCUAUGUGAGAACGCAAGCUGCCAAACGAGCCUAAUCUGUCAUACAACUGAGAUGAUUUCCAGACAGUUAAGAACUUAAUUUGUCCUCAAAGUGCAGCUAAAUGCCUGUCACAUAUUGUCUCCAUAAGGACUUCACACUCUUAGGGGUGUGGUCUGGCCCAAGGGCAUUGGUGGUUUUGAAUUGAAGGUGCUGGCUUAGGCAAUUACUCACAGCAAAGAGUGUGAUCCCAAGUUUAUGUGCCAGUGAAAGGGGUGUGGAGGACAGGGAGAGAGUUUCUUAGGAUUGUUCUGAGCUGAAGGAAAACAUGUCAGAGAAAAGGGCAUAAAAACUGGAAAUGUACACAGACAUCACCGCACUGAGAUAUGGUGACACAUGAUUGUUGCUUAAUGGAUUACUCCCCUUUACAAUAAAUCAAAAUGUAAACACAGCUGUUGUCUUUCAGUCACUGGGUUAGGCUGUGCCAGGUCCUUAAAACCAAUGAUCAGUGUAAUCAAGGAUUGACAUUAAUGUAGUUUUAAAAUGCAACCGCCUUUUGCGCUUGUUUGGUCAAUUCUCAGUGUAACAUUGUGUUCCUGCCGCCCUGAACAUCCAUUAUAGAAGCCUAGUUCUGAGAUUCUCUAUAAUAUCAUGUGUGGUGACUUGCUAAGGGCUGUGAAACAUUAUUACAUGAAAAGUUUUUCCAGUUCUAUUCAUACCGUUAUUGAAACGGUUAUUUAAUUAUAUUCACACUGGUUUUGCCAAUAUAUGCAUUGGGAUUGUGAUAGAUAAACUUGCUAACAUUCACAAGUGAAUAGCAGGCUCACUUUUGACCUGGGUGGAGCAAUAAACAAUAAACAUCUUGCCAGAUUGUCUUAGGGUCAUUGACCCCAAACACACUGCUGUAGAGAGUCUUCAUCCAACUGAGCAUGGAUUUCACAACACCGAAGACAAGACAGAACGCCCCGAAACAAGCAGGAACCGAAUAUGGCUGACAGAGAAUCACCAAGGAGACUAUCCAAUAUCUUCCACCAUGCAUUGCAGGCUUUAGGAAGUCAUUGCAUGUAAAGGAUAUGCGAAACUGUCCAAAUACUUCACUGUGCCCUGUGCAUUUUGGGGUUCCCU